Molecule: ribosomal RNA, 253 nt
Filed under: uncultured bacterium
Lineage: Bacteria
Description: partial 16S ribosomal RNA
Rfam family: Bacterial small subunit ribosomal RNA
Source: RNAcentral
GACGGAGGGUGCUAGCGUUGUUCGGAAUUACUGGGCGUAAAGGGCGCGUAGGCGGCUGCUCAAGUCGGGUGUGAAAGCCCGGGGCUCAACCCCGGAACGGCACCCGAGACUGGGCGGCUCGAGACCGGGAGAGGUGGGUGGAAUACCCAGUGUAGAGGUGAAAUUCGUAGAUAUUGGGAAGAACACCGGUGGCGAAGGCGGCUCACUGGCUCGUAUCUGACGCUCAGGCGCGACAGCGUGGGGAUCAAACAGG